This 253-nucleotide ribosomal RNA is filed under the name uncultured bacterium. RNAcentral describes it as "partial 16S ribosomal RNA". It matches the Rfam family "Bacterial small subunit ribosomal RNA", at positions 524 to 776 of the family's 1533-position model. The record is from RNAcentral.
UACGUACCGUACGAACGUUAUUCGGAAUUACUGGGCUUAAAGGGUUUGUAGGCGGCCUUGUAAGUCAGGUGUGAAAGCCCUCGGCUCAACCGAGGAAUAGCGCUUGAUACUGCAAGGCUUGAGGGAGACAGGGGUAAGCGGAACUGAUGGUGGAGCGGUGAAAUGCGUUGAUAUCAUCAGGAACACCGGUGGCGAAAGCGGCUUACUGGGUCUCUUCUGACGCUGAGGAACGAAAGCUAGGGUAGCAAACAGG